UACGAAGGGUGCAAGCGUUACUCGGAAUUACUGGGCGUAAAGCGUGCGUAGGCGGUUCGUUAAGUCUGUCGUGAAAGCCCCGGGCUCAACCUGGGAAUGGCGAUGGAUACUGGCGGGCUAGAGUGCGGUAGAGGGUGGUGGAAUUCCCGGUGUAGCAGUGAAAUGCGUAGAGAUCGGGAGGAACAUCAGUUGCGAAGGCGGCCACCUGGGCCAGCACUGACACUGAGGCACGAAAGCGUGGGGAGCAAACAGG
This 253-nucleotide ribosomal RNA is filed under the name uncultured bacterium. RNAcentral describes it as "partial 16S ribosomal RNA". It matches the Rfam family "Bacterial small subunit ribosomal RNA", at positions 524 to 776 of the family's 1533-position model. The record is from RNAcentral.